GCUUGGCAGUAAAAGGCUGAAAAUUACUAUCCGCCCGCCAGAUUAUUACAAGUAAAAACUUAAAACUCAAAGGACUUGACGGUGUCUCACACUCAACCUAGAGGAGCCUGUCCCAUAAUCGAUGAUCCACGAUAGACCCAACCGCUUCUUGCCAAACAACCUAUAUACCGCCGUCGAAAGCUCACCUUUUGAAAGGAUAAAAGUGAACACAACAAUCUUACACUAAAACGUCAGGUCAAGGUGUAGUUUAUGAAGCGGACGGAGAUGGGCUACAUUUCCUUUAUAAGGAAACACGGAUGGCACAUUGAAAAUAUAAGCCAGAAGGAGGAUUUAGUAGUAAAAUCGGAUUAGAAAGCCAAUUUGAACACACUGCCCUGAGACGCGU
This 385-nucleotide ribosomal RNA is filed under the name Madatyphlops arenarius (sand worm snake). RNAcentral describes it as "partial 12S ribosomal RNA". It matches the Rfam family "Bacterial small subunit ribosomal RNA", at positions 830 to 1384 of the family's 1533-position model. Lineage: Eukaryota; Metazoa; Chordata; Lepidosauria; Squamata; Typhlopidae. The record is from RNAcentral.